This 603-nucleotide ribosomal RNA is filed under the name uncultured bacterium. RNAcentral describes it as "bacterial SSU rRNA". The stretch from base 1 to 511 matches the Rfam family "Bacterial small subunit ribosomal RNA", at positions 338 to 873 of the family's 1533-position model. The record is from RNAcentral.
CCUACGGGAGGCAGCAGUGGGGAAUCUUGCGCAAUGGGCGAAAGCCUGACGCAGCCAUGCCGCGUGGAUGAUGAAGGUCUUAGGAUUGUAAAAUCCUUUCACCGGUGAAGAUAAUGACUGUAGCCGGAGAAGAAGCCCCGGCUAACUUCGUGCCAGCAGCCGCGGUAAUACGAAGGGGGCUAGCGUUGCUCGGAAUUACUGGGCGUAAAGGGAGCGUAGGCGGACAUUUAAGUCAGGGGUGAAAUCCCAGAGCUCAACUCUGGAACUGCCUUUGAUACUGGGUGUCUUGAGUGUGAGAGAGGUAUGUGGAACUCCGAGUGUAGAGGUGAAAUUCGUAGAUAUUCGGAAGAACACCAGUGGCGAAGGCGACAUACUGGCUCAUUACUGACGCUGAGGCUCGAAAGCGUGGGGAGCAAACAGGAUUAGAUACCCUGGUAGUCCACGCCGUAAACGAUGAUGCUAGUGUCGGUAGCUGUCUCUCGUGCGCAGCUACGCAUAGUACGACUCCGCCGUCGGGAGGUACGGUCGUCGAGAGUUAAACGUUAAAGUAGUUAAGUUAGUACGGCGUUGAGACGUUGCGACGGACGACGACGAGGGAGGAGG